ACAUCCAGCGAACUUGGCAGAGAUGCCUUGGUGCCUUCGGGAACGCUGAGACAGGUGCUGCAUGGCUGUCGUCAGCUCGUGUUGUGAAAUGUUGGGUUAAGUCCCGNAACGAGCGCAACCCUUUAUCCUUUGUUGCCAGCGAUUCGGUCGGGAACUCAAAGGAGACUGCCGGUGAUAAACCGGAGGAAGGUGGGGAUGACGUCAAGUCAUCAUGGCCCUUACGAGUAGGGCUACACACGUGCUACAAUGGCGCAUACAAAGAGAAGCGACCUCGCGAGAGCAAGCGGACCUCAUAAAGUGCGUCGUAGUCCGGAUCGGAGUCUGCAACUCGACUCCGUGAAGUCGGAAUCGCUAGUAAUCGUGGAUCAGAAUGCCACGGUGAAUACGUUCCCGGGCCUUGUACACACCGCCCGUCACACCAUGGGAGUGGGUUGCAAAAGAAGUAGGUAGCUUAACCUUCGGGAGGGCGCUUACCACUUUGUGAUUCAUGACUGGGGUGAAGUCGUAACAAGGUAGGCGUAGUGCU
This 526-nucleotide ribosomal RNA is filed under the name uncultured bacterium. RNAcentral's name for it is "bacterial SSU rRNA". It matches the Rfam family "Bacterial small subunit ribosomal RNA", at positions 984 to 1509 of the family's 1533-position model. The record is from RNAcentral.